This 252-nucleotide ribosomal RNA is filed under the name uncultured bacterium. RNAcentral's name for it is "partial 16S ribosomal RNA". It matches the Rfam family "Bacterial small subunit ribosomal RNA", at positions 525 to 776 of the family's 1533-position model. The record is from RNAcentral.
ACGGAGGGUGCAAGCGUUAAUCGGAAUUACUGGGCGUAAAGCGCGCGUAGGUGGUUGAGUAAGCGAGAUGUGAAAGCCCCGGGCUUAACCUGGGAACGGCACUUCGAACUGCUCGGCUAGAGUGUGGUAGAGGGUAGUGGAAUUUCCUGUGUAGCGGUGAAAUGCGUAGAUAUAGGAAGGAACACCAGUGGCGAAGGCGGCUACCUGGACCAACACUGACACUGAGGUGCGAAAGCGUGGGGAGCAAACAGG